Molecule: ribosomal RNA, 466 nt
Filed under: uncultured eukaryote
Lineage: Eukaryota
Description: partial 28S ribosomal RNA
Rfam family: Eukaryotic large subunit ribosomal RNA
Source: RNAcentral
CUGGCGAUGUGGGAUGAACCAAAUGUUAAAGUUAAAGUGCCUAAAAUUUUAAUGCUCAUUCUAGAUACCAUAAAAGUGUGGCUUGAUCUAGACAGAAGGACGUGGUCAUGGAAGUCGAAAUCCGCUAAGAAGUGUGUAAAAAACUUACCUUUCGAAUUAAGUUGCCCUGAAAAUGGAUGGCGCUUAAGCAUUAAAAAGAUUUUUACUUAGACUUUACUAUUUUAUAUUCAGUAAAUUAAAAUAUGUAGGAGUGUUGUGUUAAUAAAUAGUGUCGAAAUUUUUUAUUUGAAAAAAAAGAAUGAAACUUUAUUAAGUGCAGAUCUUGGCUGUAGUAGCAAAUAUUUAAGUUGAAAUCUUAAAGACUGAAGUAGAGAAAGGUUCCAUAUGAACAGUAAUUGAAUAUGGGUAAGUCGAUACCUAAAAAAAUUAAUUUAAUUAUGUUUAAUUUUUUUUUUUUUUUAAAAAA